UCGAUUCAGUAUCGGACCUUGUCGUGGAUCAUUAAAAUUCAAUCCAAAGUUGUACGGACGCUUUGGAGUCUGGACUGUUUACGCUGAAAUCGUCGCGUGCUGAGCCCGAUCAACUCAGCAUCGUGUAUGAUAGGCAGGGUAUUACGGUUGAGAACCAAAGUGGACCAAGGAGGUUGAGUAGUAAGAGCGAAGUAGAAGCGCGAACUCAGAAGGAAGUAUAAGCGAAGGUCAUUAGAAACGGAUGUUGGAGCUGCAACAGUC
RNAcentral lists this long non-coding RNA (261 nucleotides) under Trifolium pratense (red clover). RNAcentral describes it as "long non-coding RNA (TPRA_LNC012814)". Lineage: Eukaryota; Viridiplantae; Streptophyta; Magnoliopsida; Fabales; Fabaceae. The record is from RNAcentral.